Molecule: small RNA, 772 nt
Filed under: Arabidopsis thaliana (thale cress)
Lineage: Eukaryota; Viridiplantae; Streptophyta; Magnoliopsida; Brassicales; Brassicaceae
Description: ATSL277330
Source: RNAcentral
AAUACUGUUAUCAAUUUUCAAUAUUGAUAAGACUAUACAUUUAUAAAUUUCUUUUUCAAAUAUUAUUUUUUAUUUGUAUUAUUUUUUAUAAUGAUACCGUGUAAUUUAUUAAUUUAUAAAUAUUAUCAGUUUAUCAAGAUUAGUUUAUAGAUGUUUUACUGUACCACUUGAACUAUAUGGAGAACAAAUAUGGGAAGUUAUCCUCCUCUGUUGGUUCGUCCUAGAAAACUCUCUCGGGCACAAAAGCCAAGGAGCCGCAAACCACUGUUGAGAUGUGUUUUCCUCACCGAUAUUGCUCCUCCGACGAUUUCCCUCACUGACCAACACUUGCUUCCUAGGUGAUAUAUCUCAAGUGAACUCCUUCCGGCGACGUUGUUAUUUCCCGAUGAGUUUCCCCUGAUAUGACUUUCUUCUGCAUGUCACUUACCUCGAUUUGAGGCUCCUUUCGUUGUUGCCACCAGAGUCUCCGCCAGAACCGCCAGACCCACCAAACCUACCAGAUCCUCUUCCUCAUAUCAAUAGUUUUUCCGACGUAUCUCAUGCUCAACCGCAUCUUUCCACCUUUCUAAUCUCGUUUUCCUCCAACGAAGCUCUUUCUCCUUCCCAGCAUCCACCAUGUUUUGUUCAAUGGCUCUCAUCCUCCCCUACCGACUAAGAGAACCAGGCGCUCUUCUCAAGCUGUUCUUAGGGGCGGAGGUAUAUGGCUAGCAAGGGGUCAAUUGACCCCUAUGGAUUUUAAAAAAUUGUUUAUUUACUUAUAUUUUUUGAAGCA